Molecule: non-coding RNA, 1755 nt
Organism: Physcomitrium patens
Lineage: Eukaryota; Viridiplantae; Streptophyta; Bryopsida; Funariales; Funariaceae
Source: RefSeq, a predicted model, not a curated record
UCCUCCCCAGUGCCCCGCAACACACCAACGCAGCUCCAUAUGCACUGGCACUGCACUGCACUGGCCAUGUCUGUCCUGCCCUUGCAGUCUUCUUGUUGUUGUUGUUUUCGAUGUCGUUGAUCGUGUCCCCGGUUCUCCUUCCUUCCUUGCGUUGCUGCCCCCCCGCUUGCUGAGCUCCUGUUUCCUUCUUACUCGUCUCGUUUCCUUUAAGCCUGCGAUCUCUACUGGUUCCAUUUGACUGGAGUAAUGCCUGUAUCCCUGGACCCGUUGGUUUCUGUUGUGCAAUGUGUUUUGGAAUUUUCUGCAAAUGUUGGGAAGGUUUUAGGUUUCUGAGCUUUUGUGAGGUGAUCGUCGUUGAGAUUUGUAGUGUGGUGAGUUGAGGUGGAAUUUGCAACGACUAGUGUUUUUCUUUUUCUUUCUUGUUUUGUUGUUGGAUCAUUGGCGGAUUUUAUUUUUAUUUUUGGUCUCGAUGAGCUUGAGGUAAGUGCCGCUGAGAUAGUGGAGCGUAAAUUUGCGAUCGGUGCAGAGGAUUUUUGUUUUGCGCGAAAUCAAGUAGGGCGCAGUGGUGUCUCCUUUUGUCAGGUGUGUGUAUUGGUGCCAAGAAUUAAGGCCGUAGUCAGAGAAACAUGAUAGACGCAUGAUUGGAUGGUUGCGUAGGAUCCGAGGGCGCAUUUUUAAGUAAAGAGCUCUUCAGUUGGCAUCUGAAGUGAAGAUUCACUUGCUUCCUUGGGACAAAGUACAGGUUUCAUAUGAGAAGCUUGCUCAUCUGUCGGUUGCGUCCAUACUUCUAGUGAUAUGCAGAUUUUGAGGCUGGAACGAAGUGCCUCUUGUGAUAGACGAUGAGUUUUCCUUACGUGGAAUUUGGACCUCGACAAUGCGUAAUUGGUCUCAACAAUGGGCGCUCGUAUUCCUUAAUUGGCAGUGUGCUGGAAUAGGGGUCUGAUGGAGUCGCUAUGAUAAUGGCCACGAGUUGAUGAUGGUGACCUAGGCGAGAUUGUGGAAUAUUGUAUUGAGACGGAUUAGCAGAGAAACCAUGGGGAUAGAUCAGGGAGGAUUUCAGCAGCAGCACUCUAUGAACAACGACAUGGAGCGAUUGGCAGGCGCUAUGCAAGCUGUGGAGCAGGCUUGUGCAGCACUUCAGAGCAUUCUCAAGUCGCCUCAGCAAGGUUUCAGGCGGCAGCGACAAUGCAGGAAGCAGCAAUCCGCGAAUGGGUCUUACUCACUGCAGAGGAAAGGAGUAACCUGCGCACAUACUAUCUGUACUAUGUGAUGGCGAGAGCUGAUGUUCCAGAAGCGUAUGUACAAAUGAAGGUUUUGUCAGUUGCUGCUGUGCUACUGAAAAGAGGCUGAAUCGCAGGUAUGUCGAAUUGAACCUUAUUCAGGUUGCAAGAGUUGAUGCAACCUUCUGUUCAGUUCAUCCCAGCUUUGUGGAGCUUAUGAGUUGGAGUCUGUUGCCACAGAAAAAAGAAUCCUUUUUCAAUGAGGCCAGGCACGCAGUUUUAGGAGCACAUGGGCCAGCUGCUCAAUGAUCGGGUAUAUCAUUUCUAGAAGCUUUGGUGUCAGAGUUCGCUCCUUCAACUGCCAGUGCCAUGGGCUUACCUGCAGAAGUUCACGAGUACUGCCGAGUGAACUGUUGGAUGGUUGCCGGUGCCUAGUGGCUAUUGCUAGUGUAAAUUCUCCAUCAGCUUUCGAUCAACUUCUCAAAGCUGUAUCUAGGAACAGAUGGGUAGAAACUUUGAGCUUAUUAGCUUCCCU